ACUUAGAAAGAUCGGCGUGAGCGGUUGAAGCGGCAUCCUUGGGUUGAGGCGACGAAACCCAAGAUACAGCGAAAGACGCGACCCGUA
This 87-nucleotide unclassified non-coding RNA is filed under the name Flavobacterium fontis. RNAcentral describes it as "Flavo-1 RNA". Lineage: Bacteria; Pseudomonadati; Bacteroidota; Flavobacteriia; Flavobacteriales; Flavobacteriaceae. The record is from RNAcentral.